Long non-coding RNA from Etheostoma cragini (Arkansas darter), 123 nucleotides. RefSeq lists it as uncharacterized. The record is from RefSeq and is a predicted model, not a curated record. Lineage: Eukaryota; Metazoa; Chordata; Actinopteri; Perciformes; Percidae. The transcript has 3 exons.
GGAUGGACAGGAGGGAGAGUACAGAGCACUGGUGGAUGACUUUGUGGAGUGGUCUGGUAAGAAUCACCUGCUGCUGAAAGUGGAUAAGACCAGAGUGAUGGUGGUAUGAAGGGAACGGCUCCG